CUUGGGUAGCAUCAACUACGAGCAUGGCUGCCCCAGAGCCAUUUCCUAGCACGGUAUUAGCCGGGGAACCUCUGUUUGGGUUGUUUUUAGGAACUCAGGAAGACAGGGUCGUCCCACAAGGAGCAGGAUCAGCAGUCCUGACCCUAAAACCAGGCUCCCCUCCCCACGGGUCUGUGCAAGGAGGCAUUCUAAGCGGUUUAUUUGCUAACUCAACUUUAUCUUAACCCAUUUCAAAGAUGGAGAUCAAUGUGAGUCCAAUCCCUGUUUGAAUGGCGGCAUAUGCAAGGAUGACAUUAAUUCCUAUGAAUGCUGGUGUCAGACUGGAUUUGAAGGGAAGAACUGUGAGUUAGAUGUAACGUGCAACAUUAAGAAUGGCAGGUGCAAGCAGUUUUGUAAAUUGGAUGCUGAUAACAAGGUGGUUUGUUCCUGUACUACCGGAUAUCAACUUGCGGAGGACCAAAAGUCCUGUGAACCAGCAGUGCCAUUUCCAUGCGGAAGAGUUUCUGUCCCACACAUUUCUACGACGCACACCCGCGCUGAAACUCUUUUUCUCAAUACGGACUAUGAAAAUUCCACUACGGACUAUGAAAACUCCGCUGAAGCUGAAAAAAAUGUGGAUAACGUCACCCAACCAUUGAACGACUUGACUCGAAUUGUUGGUGGAAAAACCGCCAAACCAGGUCAAUUCCCUUGGCAGGUACUCUAUAUUAAUGGUGAAAGGGAAA
This is a long non-coding RNA of Herpailurus yagouaroundi (jaguarundi), 725 nucleotides long. RefSeq lists it as uncharacterized. The record is from RefSeq and is a predicted model, not a curated record. Lineage: Eukaryota; Metazoa; Chordata; Mammalia; Carnivora; Felidae. The transcript is spliced from 4 exons.